Molecule: ribosomal RNA, 253 nt
Filed under: uncultured bacterium
Lineage: Bacteria
Description: partial 16S ribosomal RNA
Rfam family: Bacterial small subunit ribosomal RNA
Source: RNAcentral
UACAGAGGGUGCAAGCGUUGUUCGGAAUUAUUGGGCGUAAAGCGCGUGUAGGCGGAUUUGUAAGUCAGGGGUGAAAUCCCGGGGCUCAACCUCGGAACUGCCUUUGAUACUGCAAAUCUCGAGUCCGGAAGAGGUGAGUGGAAUUCCUAGUGUAGAGGUGAAAUUCGUAGAUAUCAGGAGGAACACCGGUGGCGAAGGCGGGUCUCUGGGCCGAUACUGACGCUGAGGUGCGAAAGCGUGGGGAGCAAACAGG